ACCCGUUAGCAAUAAGUGUUUAAAACAUGUUUAGACUCUGAGACAUUUUAAAGACAUACAGAUUAGAAUUAUCAUACAAUAGGUCCAAAUCACCUACACACACAGAUCGAAUUACCAAGCGACCGAUUGGUGUAGCAUUUUGUCUCGUAUAACACUUAGCUCUUACACUUUUAGCUGGAAUUCGGCUCUAAUACUAAUUGUAAUGAUUCGACCCGUUAAUAAUAAUAACUCGUUGAAUCCAAAUUACCGGUCCAAAAUGCUUAAAUUCGGUUAUUGUUAUUAGCAUACAAGGCUUCAUAUAAUCCAAUCAGAAUUAUUUUUCCAUCAGAUUUAGGAUUAUUGAGGCGUAUUCGCGAAUUAUCCGUAAAUUUGCAAUUACGAACACUAUUUUUUAUCCAAAAAAUUAUAGAUAAAAUUAAUAGCAAGUAUCCAUAUAAAUAUGUAC
RNAcentral lists this long non-coding RNA (445 nucleotides) under Ananas comosus (pineapple). RNAcentral's name for it is "long non-coding RNA (ACOM_LNC020346)". The record is from RNAcentral. Lineage: Eukaryota; Viridiplantae; Streptophyta; Magnoliopsida; Poales; Bromeliaceae.